Long non-coding RNA from Mandrillus leucophaeus (drill), 541 nucleotides. RefSeq lists it as uncharacterized. The record is from RefSeq and is a predicted model, not a curated record. The transcript is spliced from 2 exons. Lineage: Eukaryota; Metazoa; Chordata; Mammalia; Primates; Cercopithecidae.
GUUUGAAAACAAGUUCAUGAAUUCGCCUGCCGUGUCCACGGAGAUGGGCCGUAGUUCUUGGCCAUAGGGACUGGACUGGAGCUAGUCCAGGAGGACAGUGAAGAUGUCGCCUUCCUUAGUCCCGGCCACUGUCUGGCCUGUGAGCAAGAGGAAGCUGCAGACCACUUGGGCCGCCCUCACCCUGACACCUUCAGCAAGCAUACGAAGACAAAGGAGAUUUUGAUGAAGUUCAAAUUGGAGUCAGAGUGCUCAUCGGAAAGAAAGCGCAGCAAACACGUUUAGGAACAGAAAUGGAUUAUGUUGAAGACAAAUUAUCCAUUGUGUUUGUGUUCAGUAACCCAAGCAUCAAAGGAACUUGUGGCUAGGGAGAAGGCUUGACUAUUUGCAAUCUCAGGAUUCCUCUGGCCGGGGCUCCCGGAUUCCUGUGGAAGCCUGGGGGCUUGCUGAAGAAGUCACGUGACUGGAACCUGCUUAGUGCUCUGCUGUCUGGUAAGGAAAAUAAAGCGGUACAUUUUGAAUAAAAAUAAAAGCUCAUUUUAAA